RNAcentral lists this long non-coding RNA (6574 nucleotides) under Sus scrofa (pig). RNAcentral's name for it is "lncRNA (ENSSSCG00000061273.1)". The record is from RNAcentral. Lineage: Eukaryota; Metazoa; Chordata; Mammalia; Artiodactyla; Suidae.
GAGAAAGAGGUUUAUUAAUAAGAAAUUGGUUCCCACAAUUACGGAGGCUAAGAAGUCCUAAGAUCUGUAGUUGGCAACCUGGAAACCCAGGGAAGUCAACAGUGAUGGUGCAGUUUCAUUCUGAGUCUGAAAUUCCAGCUCAAGAGCCAAUGGUAGAGGUUCCAGUCCAAGAGCCAGCAGGCUCGAGAUCCAAAAAGAGCCGAUGUUUCAGUUUGAGUUUAAAGGCAGGAAGACAGUGAUGUCCCAGCCCAACAACCAGGCAGAGCUUCAGCUCUCUGGAUGAGGGCCAUCUGCUUUACUCAGUACAUUCCUUCAAGUGUUAACCACAUCCAGAAACACCCGCACAGACACCCAAAAUAACAUUUGAUCAGGUAUCUGGGCACCCCUUCCCCCAUCAGGCUGACACAUAAAAUUAACCAGCACAAGGCCCUUGACUACCCAUCCAACCUUUGCCUUCUGUUGACCUCCCUGAAUAACCUCUGUGCCAGGCUGUGCCACCCGGUUACUCCGGGAGCUGUGUCUCCCAGAAUCCUCAUCCCCAUCUGGCCACCAAGGAACACGCAUGAGACAUGGACAGUGGAUGGGAAGCGGCAGCACUGUUUCGAAGGACAUCGUAGUCACAUGCACUGAUGGACGGUCACAAAGAUGCCUAAUGCACUCAGGCAUAUCCUUUGAUUUUUUAGAGCCGCACCUGUGGCAUAUGGAGAUUCCCAGGCUAGGGGUUGAAUUGGAGCUACAGCUGCCGGCCUACACCACAGCCACCGCAAUGUGGGACCCAAGCCGCAUCUGUGACCUACACCACAGCUCACGGCAAUGCUGGAUCCUUGACCCACUGAGCAAGGCCAGGGAUCGAACCCACAUCUUCACGAAUACUAGUUGGGUUCGCUGACCGCUGAGGCAUGACGGGAACUCCCCAGGCAUCUCCGUAUUCCCCUUUGCUCUACAGCCAGCUCUUCCGCCCACCUGCUGGCCCUGCUGACCAACAGCGGCUCCAGCCCCACCAUCCUGCCAUCAGCUUAGCUGCUGAUUCACAGAGGCAGGGGCCACACAGAGGCAACCUAGGCAACUCGACGAGCUCCUGCUCACGGCUCCAUGUUAGUAACUGGACGCUCCUGACUUCUCAGAUCAACUGGCAGGUGACUCCUCCAGUCUUCGCCUCCCCAGCUCCUCCCCCACUGUGGAAGGUCUGAUUCCUACAGUAUGUCCCUUAUAAUGUAACACACAUGGGAGCUCAGCUCCCCUGACCAUCUCUUAACUGAUCGGCCUCUUUAGUCUUGCGGUUUUGAACCUACCGUUUACUUUUAUUUUAUUUAUUUAUUUAUUUAUUUUUAGGGCCGCACCUGUGGCAUAUGGAGGUUCCCAGGUUAGGGGUCCAAUCAGAGCUGUAGCCACCAGCCUACGCCAGAGCCACAGCAAUGCAGGAUCCGAGCCGCAUCUGCAACCUACACCACAGGUCACGGCAACACGGGAUCCUUUACCCACUGAGCAAGGCCAGGGAUCGAGCCCACGACCUCAUGGUUCCUAGUCAGAUUCAUUUCUGCUGCACCACGACGGGAACUCUGAACCUACCGUUUAAAUACUCACUCAGAACUGUCCAGCUCCUGCCCUCAGAGUGGCACAACAUUAUGAUAAAAGAACAAGUUUUUUUUUUGUUUUUGUUUUUGCUUUUCUUUUUUUCUGGCCACACCUGUGGCAUAUGGAAGUUCCCAGGUCAAGGUCGAAUCAGAGCUGCAGCGACCGGCCUAUACCACAGCCACAGCAAUGUGGGAUCCAAGCCACAUCUAGGAUCACAGAUGAUGGCCACAGAAGCCAUCAUCUGUGACCCUAGGCCACACAGCCUACACCACAUACAUUUAUCAGGCAUGCCUCAGGUCAUUAAAUGACAGAUAAAAUGAGGCCUGCAGUCAAGUUCAGCCAGACAAUGAUCAAGACCAAGACCAAGGACAGGAAUUUAAGGGAAAGGUGACAUUCCAAAGUAGGAGAGGACCUCCUGUUGUGGCUCAGGGGGUUAAGAACCUGGCACAGUGUCUGUGAGGAUUCAGGUUCGAUCCCUGGGCUCACUUAGUGGGUUAAGGAUCUGGUGUUGCCGAGAGCUGUAGUGUAGACUGCAGAUGCAGCUUGGAUCUGGCAUUGCUGUGGCUGGGGCAUAGGCCGGCAGCUGGAGCUCCGAUUCAACCCCUAGCCUGGGAACUUCCAUAUGCCACAGGUGCGACCCUAAAAAGGAAAAAACAAUGAAAACAAAACAAAAAAAAAACAACCACCCUUCUGCUGAUCUGAAUAAACACCGUGAGAGCCCUAGUUUGACCUCAUAGGGUCAAAUACUCCCUUACCUGAUACCAAGGAGGGGCUAGUGAUGUAAGUCUGACGUCUCCUUGAAGAAUGAGGAAGAAAGCAGUCUUCUCCCUCUCCCCACUUUUCUUGGAUUAUAUAAAUAUAGCCCACCUAGUCCUCAGGGCAGAGCCGCCUCACCUGCCCACUUGUAUUUCUCACACACCUCCUAUCUUUUUGUUUUUUGUUUUUGCUUUUUUCCGUCUUUUUAGGCCUGCACCCACGGCAUAUGGAGGUUCCAAGGCUAGGGGUGGAAUCAGAGCUACAGCUGCCGGCCUACACCACAGCCACAGCAACUCAGGAUCCGAGCCACGUCUGCAACCUACCCCACAGCUCACAGCAACACCAGAUCCUUAACCCGCUGAGCGAGGCCAGGGAUCAGACCUGCGUCCUCAUGGAUACUAGUCAGAUUCGUUUCUGCCGAGCCACGACGGGAACUCCAAUAAACGUCCUAUCUUAAUCUAUUUCUUGCCUAUCACUUUGUCUCUCGCUGAAUACCUUCUGCACUGAGACGCAAAGAACCUGAGCCUCAGUAAGUCCAGACACCAGGUAAGUGAUUCUAAUUAAAAACCCGGGGGUUCAAUUCCCAAUCUAGGUUUAGGCUGGGUUCGGAGUCAGAGGUGUUUCAGUUUCAGUCAUGUGUUGAGCCCAAAGUCCAGAGAGAAAGCCAGGCAGUCUGGAAAUUCUACAGCUUCUACAUUGCAGGCUUGAGGCCAAUUUUUUUUUGCGGGGGGGAGUUAUUUCUUUGCUCUUAAGGCCUUCAACUGAUUGGAUGAGGCCUGUCCACAUUAUGGAGGGAAAUCUGUUUUACUGAAAGUCAAAUGAUUUUUUUUUUUUUUUUGGUCUUUUUUAGGGCCACACCCAUGGCAUAUGGAAGUUCUCAGGCUACGGGUCAAAUUGGAGCUACAGCUGCUGGCCUACACCACAGCCACAGCAACACAGGAUCCAAGCCCGUGUGACCUACACGACAGCUCAUGGCAAUGCCAGAUCCUUAACCACACUAAGUGGGGCCAGGGAUGGAACUUGCAACCUCAUGGAUACUAGUUGGGUUCGUUACCACUGAGCCACAACAGGAACUCCAAAGUCAACCUAUUUGAAUGUUAGUUAUAUCUAGUAAAUAUCUUCAGGAGUCCCCUGGUGGUUCAGUGGGUUAAGGACCUGGCGUCAUGUUAUGGCUCAGGUCACUGCAGUGGUGUGGGUUCAAUCCUUGGUCCAGGAACUUCUGCACAGCCCCACCCCCCCAAAAAAGAAAGUAUCUUCAUAGCAACAUCUAGACUGUAUGACUGGUGAUCGCUGGAGCUACUCCAAACAUUACAGAUCCCUCCUUCUGAGCACAGGGCAGGAUUGUACCUUCCACACGCCCGUUGGAAGUUACAAAUAGAUGAGAAAGUUUCUUUUGAAGAUAAGCAGAAGGGAUACAUGUCACUUGAAGACAGAGGCCAGUGCUUAAUUCCAUCCCAUGCUCUUUCCCUCUGCCAUGUUGCCUAGCGAUGCCCCAGAUGGUGACGGCUCUGAGGGCCUGAGUUCCAAUGGGAGGACAAUAGAAGCACAGCCCCAGCUGACCCAGGAGGGACACAGUUAAGAGCUGAAUAACUGUGCCCCCCAAAUUCAUUUGCUGAAGCCCUAGCUCCCCAUGUGAUGGUAUUUGGAGGUGAGGCCUUUGGGAGGUGAUCAAGUUUGGAUGAGGGCAUGAAGGGUAAGGCCUUCAUGAAGAAAUUAUUGCCCUUAUAAGAAGAGACAAUAAAGAACUUUCUUGAGCGCUCUCGUGCCAUAGGAGGACAGUGAGAAGGCAGCCAGCUAUAAGCCAGGAAGGGACCUCUCACCAGACACCAAAUCGGCCAACACCUUGGUCUCAGACUUCCCAGACACCGAAACUGUGAGAAAUAAAUUUCUGUUGUUUAAUCCACCCAGCCUAUGAUAUUUUGCGACAGCGAUCUGUGCAGCCUGAGACAGACACAUCACGUGAAUACCAUCUAGAGUGAUGUUUGUUAUGCAACACAACCUCACCUAUCCUGACUGACACACAGUCCAAAGCCAUGGCACUAACCCUUGUGCAGCACUACCUCCUCACGAUCCCUAAUAUUUUAUGAGAAAGAAAUAUUUCCAAACAAACCCUUGUAAGUGUGCUGCAGUCCAAAAUGAAAGAAACCUCAAAAGAACACCAAACAAACAAGAACACAAAGGAACAGCAAACACUAAGCCUGAACACUGGCCCUCUGGGGUAUCCAUAAACCACAGACGAUUUGGUUUCUUCUUCGACUUGCAGCAGUGCCUGCGGGAGUCCGGGCUUGUGCUGAGUGGAGCUGGAGGAGAUGAAACAGCUGGCACCCAGGCUCUAAUGAAGCACGGGGCGCUCAGCAUCCCUGCUGGGCGAAUCCGGCAAAGCCAAUGGCAAUGCAAAGACGCUUUUCCUCCCAACCGCCUUUGCACUCAGAUCUCUGCACAUCCCUCAGAAGGCUGUUUGCUCGUGGACGGGAAAAGGCUAAUUUGACGUGGGGCCAAGUGUCAAGGCCCUCUGCUGGUUUUCUGAGAAGAUUCCCUUUGAAGACCCGCUCCUCUGAACCCCUGCCUUUCCUCAGCACGAUCAGAAAUGCCACCUUCUGUUGGCUCUUUAGAAUUUUUCAAAGUGGCUUCGCUGUGAUUUCCAGGGCUUUCUGAUUGCUGGCAACUGUAAGACGCAUCACAUCAGGGAAGUUUGAUUUCUUGUUUUUCAAACCACUGACUUCUCCCCGUGACCCUUUUUGUCUCCACCAACAACCAACAACCAACAACCAACCACCAGACACAGAGCAUGCUGACAGCAGCGCCUGCCUCAGGAGAUGAUUGGAGAGGCAGAGAAAAAAUCCCCUCACUCCCUAAAUAUCCAUCACAUGCCCACUACAAACUUACCAAGCACCAUGCCAGGCACCAAGGUGCAACAGUGAGUUCAUUUUAUCUUAUUUUAUUUUCAUUUUUGGCUGCCCCGCAGCAUAUGGGGUUCCCGGGCCAGGGAUCAGAUCCAAGCCUCAGUUGCGACCUAAGCUGCAGCUGCAGCAUAACCAGACCCUUAACACACUGUAUCAGGAACUCUAACAAUGAGUUCAUUUUAGAUGUGGUUCCUGCGCUAGUGGGGUUUAGAGGCUGGUGGAGAACACAGGAAAAAAAAAUUAAUAAAGAAAAGACCUACGAUGGUGAAAGUGCUGUUAAGGAAAAAGAAGGAUUCUGAGAACCUAGAAAGAGACGAGUGCGGAUGGCGGGUGCAGGGGAAGGAAACGCCACUGUGAGCUGGGGCCCACCUGAGAAGCAGUCACCAAGAUGGGAUGAGACUGUGACAGGUUUUGGGGGUAAAACACGUUCAGGGAGGGAGCCAGAGAAGAAGGAAGAUCUUCGGACUAUAUGGCAAAUAUAUAUUAUACACUAACAUUACUGUGUAUAUAAAUGUAGAAUAUAUAUAUAUAUACAGUGUGUGUAAUAUACACUGUAUGUGUGUAUAUAUAUAUACACAUUGCACAUACAGUAACACCACUGUGUAUAGAUGUAUCAUAUAUCCAUACACAGUGUAUUAUAUACAUAAAUUAACAAAAAAUCUGAAGUAAAGCCAACAGAUCAGGAGACAAUCAAUGUCAUUGAAAAGAUAGUUGAUUACUUACUCAUGGUUCUCAGGAGGAGGGGACAAGCCACACCAUGGGGGGAGCUGCAAAUGGAGAAGCACCAGGGUGAGUCCAAGGGCAGAGGGAGAGGGAGGAACUGUGGGUGAGGACCACGCAAGGCAGAAGGAGCAGUCAGAAACCUUCGCACAGGCUCUGGAACGCAAAGGCUAUCCCUCAGAGUCUGGGACCUGGUCCUUGGCUCAUCAGGGAAGGUGGAUGGUGACCUGGAGUAUGAGAGCCCCAUAAGGGAGAAGGUUGGUUUGGAUUUGAGAUGAGGGCACCAGCUCUCAGGGGAGUUUUUUCUGAUCUCUAGGUUUUGGCUAAUCCUGGGAGGGGCAGUCCCUCCAGGGUCAGCAAGGCUCUAUAUGUCAAAGCAUCAGAACAAAGAAAUGUGUAUCCUGGAGUUCCCGUCGUGGCUCAGAGGUUAACAAAUCCGACUAGGAAUCAUGAGGUUGCAGGUUCGAUCCCUGGCCUUGUUCAGUGGGUUAAGGAUCCAGAGUUGCUGUGAGCUGUGGUGUAAGUUGCAGACGUGGCUCGGACGCUGUGUUGCUGUGGCUCAGGCGUAGGCCGGCGGCUAUAGCUCCGAUUGGACAGCUAACCUGAGAACCUCCAUAUGC